UCUGCAAACACGUCGGCCACACACACACACACACAAUUUCUUUCAGAAUGGAUUCUCACCCGUAAACGUGUCCAAACACUGAGAUGUCACGAUUCUCAGAGCUAAUAGCCGUGCCAAGCUCUUUUCCCGUCAAAACCUGACUUGUGAAUCCUGAUUGGAAUUAAUCACUCAUGUGAUUGAGGAACCGAGCAACUCUUAAGGCCUUUUCUUUGGCCGCUUUGACUCCUUUGGGAUUUAUUCAGUGAGCAAGGCUGCAGAGUAGCACUUCCUGUUCUCUCUCAAAACCAUGAGUUCGAAAAGAGCCCGCCCGGUUAAUUGCGUCUCGCGAUGCUGCACAAUCAGUCGGAUGUAUGAAUGACUUGUGCUGUCUUGUGCUUGCUCGCCAGGGGACGUUCGGUCAUUUCUCAGGAAUGGCGCACGGUAAACACGCAUCCGUUUUGUCUGUCCUUAACCCCUCACCAGCAUUGUCUUUUCUCAGCUUGUCAACGCAUAUUCUUGUCAACGCCUUUCUUUCUUACCCGCGAGUUCACGAGAGAAGAGAGCGGUCCCCUGGCUCAUGGUCUCGCUCUGGAACUGCGGAAAUAAGAGCAGAAUAAUCACGCCGGCAUGUCUUGACUUCAUUUUCUUGUGGCCCAAAGGGCAGGACGGAAUUCUUCUACUCCUCCACCUACGCGAUUUGCAAAAAUGAGUCAGAGUGGCCGACGCUGAACGACUCUAUUGUGCCUGCGAGUGGAGUAAACGGAGAGCGGGUGACAGAAACGCCGCGUUCCGUCGCACCAUCUUGCCUGAGCAGUUUCCGGUGGAUGUCGAAAUUGGAGCUGGAAUUCAAGCUGACGCAGUGAGCGCUCACUCACCGAGCCCAAAUGUGUGCUUUUCGACGUUACAUUUUCGCCGCCCUUUUCCGGCCUCUUCUUGCAAAUGAUCACCAUUGCGACGCGCAUCCCAGUCCCGAGCCGUUUUGGCGAGUGUCAGUCCGGCGGGCCAUGGCGAAUCUUCACUCCUCGGGCCGCCGAUCCUGAUGGGAGAGACGCGCGCACAGUUGAGUAUUUUUGCCGAGCAUCUUUUCCCCAUGCCGAUGUGCUUUAACCCACUCGAGCUUUUGUCUCAUUUGGAAAAAUCAAUUUGUGCCACAUUUGUUUUGUUCUCACGCUACUAAACGGAUGAUUCAUAGCCGUGCAAACGAGGCAGGAGCGAAAGUUAUCCACACGGGGUCAAAGUUGUGUAAUUGAAUCCUCAGAGUGUUUGCGGGGGGUGGCCAGGAAUAGCCGACCUUGCGGUUAUCCACACAACCUUCCCGGCGGUGGAGGAUGCAAGUAUCACGAGUACCACAGAGCCAAGUGGCUUCGGCGAGGCCGGAUGGAUGACAUGGAAAAUCUGUGUAGCAUUAGCUUGUAGCAUCAGUCCAAGUUCCCCCCCCCCCCCCCCAAUACUAUAUGGGGAUGUCGAUGGUUGUUUAUGUUCACACCCUGUGAUUGAUUGGCAUCUAGUUCAGGGUGUGGAUGGAUGUGAAAUAAUACAACUGUAAUGAUCAUACCGUUUAUUAUCUAUUUUAAUUAUGACUCCAUUUGUUGAAGUAUCAUACGAAUGAUCGCAAUUUGAUCUUGUCAGCAAAGAUCAGGCUUAAUAUUGUUUCAAUUGCUUCAAUGCAUGCUACCAUUUCAAUUGUCUGUGCCCAAAGAAAAAUAACGUGAAAUUAAAAAGUAUGAAAUAUGUGAUUAAAAAUAUAAUAAAUACAAGAUAAGAAUUAGUUUUCCCCAGUAGUCUUCUACAAAUUUAAAACAAGGAGAUCCGCUAAAAGUGUUGGGCCUAAGACACAUCCCGCGCGGUGCUUCCAAGGGGGCCGCAAAAUCUGAUACGCCCCAAUUAGAGCGGCUUGUCCAUACAUUGGCUAGACUGUAAUCCCCCCCAGCCAACAAACAUUACAUCAGGAUUUGGGUCUUGACUGACAAUUAGCGCUAAUGCUAAUCCAUGCUAUAACCCCUAGACAGCUGGUUUAAAAAAAAAUAAAAAAUACAAAAACAUUUUAAAUGUCGAAUCAACUGGUUGAAAUGUAAAUUGCGGCCGGCGUUGCGUCUUCCCUUGCAAGCGACUUAAAAUGUCCUUCACGUAACAUCUUCACACAUUACAGCAGUUUAUGAUCAGCAGAUAUUUGCUUUCGUGCUAGUCCGCGAGAGUUCACCGGAUCAUAAAGUCUGUUUCGCCAAAGUGAAAGGAACACCGCGUGACUUAGGUGGAAAGCACCUCACAAAGACGUUCACUAGUACGCGAGUACAGCUCGUGGCGUACUACUUGUAGCUUGCCAUGUUUGGACUCUUGUCUUGUGUGACUAAACGUGUGGAAGGGUGUGUUGUGACAAAGCACGUCAAAAAAGGAAACGCUUAAUUGACGGUUGGAACCAGUUUUUUUUUUUUCCGAUGCCUAAUCGCUGUGGUAAUUUACCCAAAGGCCAAACUUUUUCUUCCUUGUUAUUAAUUAAAGGGCAGGUGCCAGGAUGACGGGGCUCAAAGCAAACAUACCAAAGUAGGCUACGUUCACUUCUGUCCAUUUAUGAAUAAAAUGAGCUCAGCGGAGUGGGGAGGGAUCACGGGGGUGGGCCGGGGGUCUCGUCCAGCUUGCAGCUGCCCGCUUACCAUAAACACAAAGACUCAGCAUGGCUGCCAAGCAGAGGCGCGCUCCCAAGGGGGCCCGCUGUUUAAUUAUCCCCCCCCCCCACCCCCUCCACACACACAUAAUCGCGGCAACUGUACACUCUAGCGCAGGAGCCAUUAAGGGCAAACAAUUGAAAACACAAACAUCCUCCGGGCCGCGCCGCACGGGAACGUGUCAGAAGCGCGCUCGCCUCUUUCACACGGAGAUCCUGUAAAUUUGCCCCAUCAGAGCAGACCCCCACCUGUUAUCCAAUUCCUAGAAAUUGUUACCCUACAAUUCCGCAAGAAUCGCAUUUUUGGUACAGAUCCAUUUCAACAUGGCGCUACCGACAGUAUAAGCUCGACAUUGGGACUGUUGCGUGUCGGUAUCUUUCACGCGGAACAGUGCGGAAGGGGAAACGCUAGCUUUGCUUGUUACCCCGCUGAUACUGCAUCAUCACGUAGGGCAGUAACUUUUCCACUAAAACGCUACUGUACUAGCAGAGCCACACCAUGUACGCUUCUUACGUUCGUACAUCAUGUGCAGGAUCAUACGGCAAGACCACUGCAACUCUUUAGAAAGAACUCUCCGGUUUGUCCCUGCGGCGCAACCACAACCACUAGUUCCACCAACAGCCAAGACCCCCCCCCCACGAAAGUCGAAUUGAGUUUGGCAAAGAAAAUUGGCAUGACGAGCACCCACAGAAUGUUACACACAGGCUACAGAGCAAACACGAGGUUCUGCCGCCAUCCGCUCGGAAAUGGAUCUACUGUG
Hippocampus zosterae (dwarf seahorse) is the source of this 3402-nucleotide long non-coding RNA. RefSeq lists it as uncharacterized. NCBI's taxonomy places the organism in Eukaryota, Metazoa, Chordata, Actinopteri, Syngnathiformes, Syngnathidae. The record is from RefSeq and is a predicted model, not a curated record. The transcript is spliced from 2 exons.